AUUGAACGCUGGCGGCAGGCCUAACACAUGCAAGUCGAGCGAGCGGCGGACAGGGGUGUAAUGUAUGGGGACUGCCCGAUAGCGGGGGCUAACUACUCGAAACGGUAGCUAAUACCGCAUACUAUCGGAUAACCCAUAUGGGGUUAGCUAUUAGGUGAGGUAAUGGCUCACCUAGGCGACGAUCCCUAGCUGGUCUGAGAGGAUGAUCAGCCACACUGGGACUGAGAAACGGCCCAGAAUCCAACGGAGGCAGCAGUGGGGAAUAUUGCACAAUGAGAGCAAGCCUGAUGCAGCCAUUCCGCGUGUAUGAAGAAGGCCCUAGGGUUGUAAAGUUCUUUCAGUCGGGAGGCGUUACCGUCAGAAGAAGCACCGGCUAACUCCGUGCCAGCAGCCGCGGUAAUAC
This 403-nucleotide ribosomal RNA is filed under the name uncultured bacterium. RNAcentral describes it as "partial 16S ribosomal RNA". It matches the Rfam family "Bacterial small subunit ribosomal RNA", at positions 30 to 526 of the family's 1533-position model. The record is from RNAcentral.